CAGCAGCCGCGGUAAAACGAAGGGUGCAAGCGUUACUCGGAAUUACUGGGCGUAAAGCGUGCGUAGGUGGUGGUUUAAGUCCGUUGUGAAAGCCCUGGGCUCAACCUGGGAAUUGCAGUGGAUACUGGGUCACUAGAGUGUGGUAGAGGAUAGUGGAAUUUCCGGUGUAGCAGUGAAAUGCGUAGAGAUCGGAAGGAACAUCUGUGGCGAAGGCGACUAUCUGGGCCAACACUGACACUGAGGCACGAAAGCGUGGGGAGCAAACAGGAUUAGAUACCCGAGUAGUCCCUGUCUCUUAUAA
RNAcentral lists this ribosomal RNA (301 nucleotides) under uncultured bacterium. RNAcentral's name for it is "partial 16S ribosomal RNA". It matches the Rfam family "Bacterial small subunit ribosomal RNA", at positions 509 to 809 of the family's 1533-position model. The record is from RNAcentral.